AAUGAAACCUGAUAUGACUUAGUGGCGGACGGGUGAGUAACACGUGAGCAACCUGCCUUUCAGAGGGGGAUAAUCCGAAGAAAUUUGGUCUAAUACCCCAUAAUAUUCCGACAGGCAUCUGUCGGAGUUGAAAGCUUCGGUGGUUGGAGAUGGGCAUGCGUUGUAUUAGCUAGAUGGUGAGGUAACGGCUCACCAUGGCGAUGAUACAUAGGGGGACUGAGAGGUUGAACGGCCACAUUGGGACUGAGAUACGGCCCAGACUCC
RNAcentral lists this ribosomal RNA (264 nucleotides) under uncultured bacterium. RNAcentral describes it as "partial 16S ribosomal RNA". It matches the Rfam family "Bacterial small subunit ribosomal RNA", at positions 74 to 339 of the family's 1533-position model. The record is from RNAcentral.